GACGAACGCUGGCGGCGUGCCUAAUACAUGCGAGUAGAACGCUGAAGAGAGGAGCUUGCUCUUCUUGGAUGAGUUGCGAACGGGUGAGUAACGCGUAGGUAACCUGCCUUGUAGCGGGGGAUAACUAUUGGAAACGAUAGCUAAUACCGCAUAACAAUGGAUGACACAUGUCAUUUAUUUGAAAGGGGCAAUUGCUCCACUACAAGAUGGACCUGCGUUGUAUUAGCUAGUAGGUGAGGUAAUGGCUCACCUAGGCGACGAUACAUAGCCGACCUGAGAGGGUGUGCGGCAACACUGGGACCGAGACAAGGCCCAGACUCCUCAGGGGGGCAGCAGUAGGGAAUCUUAGGCAAUGGGGGCAACCCUGACCGAGCAACGCCGCGUGAGUGAAGAAGGGUUUCGGAUCGUAAAGCUCUGUUGUAAGUCAAGAACGGGUGUGAGAGUGGAAAGUUCACACUGUGACGAUAGCUUACCAGAAAGGGACGGCUAACUACGUG
Molecule: ribosomal RNA, 497 nt
Filed under: uncultured bacterium
Lineage: Bacteria
Description: partial 16S ribosomal RNA
Rfam family: Bacterial small subunit ribosomal RNA
Source: RNAcentral